Molecule: long non-coding RNA, 1453 nt
Organism: Lates calcarifer (barramundi perch)
Lineage: Eukaryota; Metazoa; Chordata; Actinopteri; Centropomidae
Exons: 3
Source: RefSeq, a predicted model, not a curated record
UGGCAGGGUAACAUGCUAGCAUUUGUGCUGCUGGUAGCACCGCCUAGCAGCAAUGCACAGCAGCUAUGGGAGAGAUGCAGAGACUAGGCCCAAACUGCAGGGCCAAUGUUUUACGUGUAAAUAAACCAUGGCUUCUUGCAGUAGCACACCUUCACUCACUCCAGCUCUCUUCAGUCAAAAUGCCAGACUCUGAUGAAGCGGCGCCAGCAUCAUGCCAGGUCAUUAGAGAGGAUGCCGACAAAUGGUGAGUUCUGACAGCGAUGACACAGACAUUGUAGAUGCUGAAAACGGUAUUUAUACAAAUAUACACACAUUCAAAAAUACUAAAAAUGAAGGAUUACAUUUUCUCCAGCCAAUGUGACAGUGUGUUGCGAGUGUAAUUGCCUGUACAGAGUGCCUUUGUGUAACUUGUGCCCUCAAGGAUAAUUCAUUAACUGUGUUUGGGUUCCAGUUAAAUGCUAGUCAUUUUCCAUUACAUCCUCUUGGCCAUUCUCAGUCAUCACUUAUUGAGUUCUAUGCAUGACUACCAGUGCAUUCAUAUUACUUCUCAUUUGGCCUCAACUUCUAAGUGCGCCUGUGGGGAGAUCAUUAACUCUAAUUAGAGUUACUGUAGAAUAGGCCUACUUAUUCACAACUUUAAGUAAAUCCAUUCUACAUAGGACCAAAUGUAAUGACAUUUACAGAGGGCCCUUACACUGACAUGAAUGUCUUGAGGAGCAUAAAUAGACCUGAGGUUUGAAAUAGGCACAUUCCAGGCUGUUGGUUCGAGUUACUCACAUGCGAGAAGCGACAGAUAUUUAGUGUGUGUCCACGUGCGGCGGUGAUUAGUGUCAGUGGAGCUGCUGUACAGAUUACUCGCUCAUGUUCUUGCACUUCACCAAAUGUAGAUAAAAGCAGGCUAUAUUGUAAUAAUCCCUUUGAUGCACAUGGAAACUAAAUUUAGAGAUUUUCCUUAUGUUUGAACAGGUGAUGCAACUACUGAUUUCUCCACAUUUACAUCAUGUAAUUUUCACAAUUUCAACUGAAACCCUGAUACAUGCCAAUGAGGAUAAUCCAGCAGUGUGUGUAGAGAGUGCUAAGAGUGUUUUAUACAUCUGCUUUUGUGUUUCAGUAUCAGAGAGUAAGGGGGCAGAGGACUGUAAAGAUCUGGUAGAUGCCUUCCAGGCCUGUAUAAGAACCCUGUCUGAAGGAUCAUGAUACAUAAGGAAACACAUCUGAAUAACAUCUUCACUUUCCUGGCAUUCCCUUUCUGACUUAUUGUAUUGGACUGAACCAUCUAAAAAACUGAAGAGGGGGUGGUGAUGCUGAACUUUGGAUACCAUAUACUUCUGUGAAUGUGGGUUUUUCUUUCAAAAAUGUUAUAAUCAAUUAUGGACUAUGCCAUAACACUAAUAAUCUAUGCACUGUAAUUUUUUAAAUGCGCAAAAUACAAUAAAUAUUACCACACAUAGUA